Molecule: small nuclear RNA, 194 nt
Filed under: Ostreococcus lucimarinus CCE9901
Lineage: Eukaryota; Viridiplantae; Chlorophyta; Mamiellophyceae; Mamiellales; Bathycoccaceae
Description: snRNA U2
Rfam family: U2 spliceosomal RNA
About the family: U2 is a small nuclear RNA (snRNA) component of the spliceosome (involved in pre-mRNA splicing). Complementary binding between U2 snRNA (in an area lying towards the 5' end but 3' to hairpin I) and the branchpoint sequence (BPS) of the intron results the bulging out of an unpaired adenosine, on the BPS, which initiates a nucleophilic attack at the intronic 5' splice site, thus starting the first of two transesterification reactions that mediate splicing.
Source: Rfam by way of RNAcentral
AACUUUUCUCGAGCUUUCGCUCAGAUCAAGUGUAGUAUCUGUUCUAUUAUGUUUAAACACAUAAUGAGGCUUUCUUAAGCCUUCAUUAGUUUAACCGAAUUUCUUCAGAGGGCGUUAUUCAAACAGGCUUGUUUACAAGUCGAAUACGCGAGCAUGUUCUUGGCCUUGCACUUUGCCUCGAACGUGUACCUCGA